GGGGGUGCACCGGUUUCGACUGGUGCGGUUCGGGAUACAGGCUGCAGGUGGAGCGCUCAUCUCCUGAUUGGGCAAAAAUUUAACUGCCGACUACGACAGUUACGCUCUCGCUGCGUAAGUAGCUGAACGCGGAAACCAGCCCCGCCGCCUUGAGGGGCUGAAUUUCCGUCGCAAUCAAGGCUGGCCAAACGCCGCUUCCGGACAGCGUGAGGUAAGAUAAUUCCGGAAUACAGAGGGGCCGCAUGCCGCGCGGCUAAGCCCCUCUCGACAAUAUAAUGCGCGGCUAAACCUGUAGACGUUUGUGUUUCGCGCAUCAGGACGCGGGUUCGACUCCCGCCACCUCCAAUA
This 348-nucleotide transfer-messenger RNA is filed under the name Treponema sp. It matches the Rfam family "transfer-messenger RNA". Rfam says of the family: Bacterial tmRNA, also known as 10Sa RNA or SsrA, is named for its dual tRNA and mRNA-like properties. Its role is to liberate the mRNA from a stalled ribosome. The record is from RNAcentral. Lineage: Bacteria; Pseudomonadati; Spirochaetota; Spirochaetia; Treponematales; Treponemataceae.